Molecule: ribosomal RNA, 253 nt
Filed under: uncultured bacterium
Lineage: Bacteria
Description: partial 16S ribosomal RNA
Rfam family: Bacterial small subunit ribosomal RNA
Source: RNAcentral
UACAGAGGUCCCGAGCGUUGUUCGGAUUCACUGGGCGUAAAGGGCGCGUAGGUGGCGGCCCAAGUCCAUGGUGAAAGCUCGAUGCUCAACAUCGAGUCGGCCACGGAUACUGGGUUGCUCGAGCACUGUAGGGGCAGAUGGAAUUCCGGGUGUAGCGGUGGAAUGCGUAGAGAUCCGGAAGAACACCGGUGGCGAAGGCGGUCUGCUGGGCAGUUGCUGACACUGAGGCGCGACAGCGUGGGGAGCAAACAGG